This 253-nucleotide ribosomal RNA is filed under the name uncultured bacterium. RNAcentral's name for it is "partial 16S ribosomal RNA". It matches the Rfam family "Bacterial small subunit ribosomal RNA", at positions 524 to 776 of the family's 1533-position model. The record is from RNAcentral.
UACGAAGGGGGCUAGCGUUGUUCGGAAUUACUGGGCGUAAAGCGCACGUAGGCGGAUUGUUAAGUCGGGGGUGAAAUCCUGAGGCUCAACCUCAGAACUGCCUUUGAUACUGGCAAUCUUGAGUCCGGAAGAGGUGAGUGGAACUCCUAGUGUAGAGGUGGAAUUCGUAGAUAUUAGGAAGAACACCAGUGGCGAAGGCGGCUCACUGGUCCGGUACUGACGCUGAGGUGCGAAAGCGUGGGGAGCAAACAGG